GUCCCCUUCGUCUAGAGGCCCAGUACACCGCCCUUUCACGGCGGUAACAGGGGUUCGAAUCCCCUAGGGGACGCCA
RNAcentral lists this transfer RNA (76 nucleotides) under Klebsiella pneumoniae. RNAcentral describes it as "tRNA-Glu". It matches the Rfam family "tRNA". Rfam says of the family: Transfer RNA (tRNA) molecules are approximately 80 nucleotides in length. Their secondary structure includes four short double-helical elements and three loops (D, anti-codon, and T loops). Further hydrogen bonds mediate the characteristic L-shaped molecular structure. tRNAs have two regions of fundamental functional importance: the anti-codon, which is responsible for specific mRNA codon recognition, and the 3' end, to which the tRNAs corresponding amino acid is attached (by aminoacyl-tRNA synthetases). tRNAs cope with the degeneracy of the genetic code in two manners: having more than one tRNA (with a specific anti-codon) for a particular amino acid; and 'wobble' base-pairing, i.e. permitting non-standard base-pairing at the 3rd anti-codon position. Lineage: Bacteria; Pseudomonadati; Pseudomonadota; Gammaproteobacteria; Enterobacterales; Enterobacteriaceae. The record is from RNAcentral.